Non-coding RNA from Acanthosepion pharaonis, 112 nucleotides. The record is from the annotation of a GenBank genome assembly. Lineage: Eukaryota; Metazoa; Mollusca; Cephalopoda; Sepiida; Sepiidae.
CGCUGAAAUCACGCUGAAAACACCGGUUCUCGUUCGAUCACCGAAGUUAAGCAUCGUAGAGCCAGGUCAGUACUUAGAUGGGGGACCGCUUGGGAACACCUGGUACUGUAAG